This is a long non-coding RNA of Harmonia axyridis, 1284 nucleotides long. RefSeq lists it as uncharacterized. Lineage: Eukaryota; Metazoa; Arthropoda; Insecta; Coleoptera; Coccinellidae. The record is from RefSeq and is a predicted model, not a curated record. The transcript is spliced from 2 exons.
UUGAUUUCCACUCGACGAAAUAUUUCAUUUGAGUACCAUAUUAGACUUUUUAGCUUUUUUUAUUAAAAAAAAACUGAGAAAACCGUUAGUCCUAGAACAAAAUUGAGGCCAUGAUUGAGUUCCUCUUCAUCAACAUAAUUGAUGGAGUGUCACGAGUUCUAUAUCAGGACUGAGCAAGAACGUUGAUUAUCUAACUAUAUUCCAAGACAAUAAUAUAAAUAAAAAAUAUAUAAAAUGAGAGUCGUUACUAAUCAAGGCUUUACAUUUAGAAUAGUGAGCGAAUUUCAUCUGGUCACUAGAAAUCAUUAUUUUAAUAAAAUAUCAGAUGAUAGAAAUCGCUCUCUAUUCAAGAUUCAUCAUGUUUCAAUUAUCACCAGCUACAAAAAGUAAACGAGUUCAAUAUAACAUUUUUUUUUUGGGAAAUAUUAUCUGAGAGAACAGUAGUUUAUAGAUCAAAUACACCUAAUAGAGUUCAUUAGCUUCAGAUUAAAGACUUGUUUUCGAAUUGUAGGUAAAUAAGAUGGCGAAACUGUUAAUUGUUUCUCAGCAACUAAUGGAUGAUUUCGGAAUUUAUUUCCAUUUAUGUUUCAAACUUACCAAAUAAUGAUCUUUAAACACCAUAAAUUCUUAUUGUGCUCAAAUGAACCUUUUUAGUCAACAAUAGCUAUGUAUGCAUAUAAAAAUGGAAACGUUUUCUGGAACAUAUUCACUUUUAAAAUCGACCAGGAAGGAGUGAAAAAUGAUUUUUAAAAUAAUAACAUUCAGUUUCUUAAUUUUUGUUGUGGUCAAUUGUGUAUAUGGGCAAGGUCCUGAGUGCCGUCCAGGUUAUUGUGAUCAAGUACCAUGUGCUUCAAGGAGUAGUUGCAGCGAACCAAAUCAGUAUAUAAAAGAAACUCCUUGUGGUUGUUGCCCUGUGUGUUUCACCCUAUUAGGUGAAGGCGAAUCAUGUCCACCAAUAUUGCUAGGAGGUCCUCCAGCUACUUCUGCAUGCAUGGAAGGUUUGCAGUGUAUUGGAGGUGUUUGUCUUAGUGUUAAUUAAUUGAGUCUAUCGUUAGCAAUGAUGAGCAUUAUGAUAUUUCAUUUUAUCAAAAAUAAAAGGGGGAAUUAUUAUUUUUUUAUUGAUUGAUAAAGAAAGACACUUUUUUGAUAACAUUUUAAUAAAACUAUAAAAUUAAUUACAAAAUUGUUGAUGAAGGCUUUACAGCUGAAUUUUACAACAAAAUCAGAUAAUUCCACGUUUCUUCAAAUAUUCAACCGAAAGCUAUAGUUGCUUCUUCAAAAUAU